RNAcentral lists this ribosomal RNA (158 nucleotides) under Epicoccum nigrum. RNAcentral describes it as "5.8S ribosomal RNA". The stretch from base 79 to 158 matches the Rfam family "5.8S ribosomal RNA", at positions 1 to 80 of the family's 154-position model. From Rfam's summary of the family: 5.8S ribosomal RNA (5.8S rRNA) is a component of the large subunit of the eukaryotic ribosome. It is transcribed by RNA polymerase I as part of the 45S precursor that also contains 18S and 28S rRNA. The record is from RNAcentral. Lineage: Eukaryota; Fungi; Ascomycota; Dothideomycetes; Pleosporales; Didymellaceae.
GGCGGGUCCGCCCGCCGAUUGGACAACAUUCAAACCCUUUGCAGUUGCAAUCAGCGUCUGAAAAAACAUAAUAGUUACAACUUUCAACAACGGAUCUCUUGGUUCUGGCAUCGAUGAAGAACGCAGCGAAAUGCGAUAAGUAGUGUGAAUUGCAGAAU